RNAcentral lists this ribosomal RNA (639 nucleotides) under uncultured bacterium. Its description in RNAcentral is "bacterial SSU rRNA". It matches the Rfam family "Bacterial small subunit ribosomal RNA", at positions 232 to 885 of the family's 1533-position model. The record is from RNAcentral.
CGCGGCCUAUCAGCUUGUUGGUGAGGUAACGGCUCACCAAGGCUUCGACGGGUAGCUGGUCUGAGAGGACGAUCAGCCACACUGGGACUGAGACACGGCCCAGACUCCUGCGGGAGGCAGCAGUGGGGAAUCUUGCGCAAUGGGCGAAAGCCUGACGCAGCCACGCCGCGUGGGGGACGAAGGCCCUCGGGUUGUAAACCCCUUUCAGCAGGGACGAAACUGACGGUACCUGCAGAAGAAGCUCCGGCCAACUACGUGCCAGCAGCCGCGGUAACACGUAGGGAGCAAGCGUUGUCCGGAUUUAUUGGGCGUAAAGGGCUCGUAGGCGGUUCGGUAAGUCAGGUGUGAAAGCUCAGGGCUCAACUCUGAGAAGCCAUCUGAUACUGCCAUGACUAGAGUUCGGUAGAGGAGCGUGGAAUUUCCGGUGUAGCGGUGAAAUGCUCAGAUAUCGGGAGGAACACCAGCAGCGAAGGCGGCGCUCUGGGCCGAAACUGACGCUGAGGAGCGAAAGCGUGGGGAGCAAACAGGAUUAGAUACCCUGGUAGUCCACGCCGUAAACGGUGGGCACUAGGUGUGGGGCCUAAUCAACGGGUUCCGUGCCGUAGCUAACGCAUUAAGUGCCCCGCCUGGGGAGUACGG